AACGAACGCUGGCGGCAUGCCUAACACAUGCAAGUCGAACGAGACCUUCGGGUCUAGUGGCGCACGGGUGCGUAACGCGUGGGAACCUGCCCUUAGGUUCGGAAUAACUCCCCGAAAGGGGUGCUAAUACCGGAUAAUGUCUUCGGACCAAAGAUUUAUCGCCUUUGGAUGGGCCCGCGUUGGAUUAGCUAGUUGGUAGGGUAAAAGCCUACCAAGGCGACGAUCCAUAGCUGGUCCGAGAGGAUGAUCAGCCACACUGGGACUGAGACACGGCCCAGACUCCUACGGGAGGCAGCAGUGGGGAAUAUUGGACAAUGGGCGAAAGCCUGAUCCAGCAAUGCCGCGUGAGUGAUGAAGGCCUUAGGGUUGUAAAGCUCUUUUACCCGGGAUGAUAAUGACAGUACCGGGAGAAUAAGCUCCGGCUAACUCCGU
Molecule: ribosomal RNA, 432 nt
Filed under: uncultured bacterium
Lineage: Bacteria
Description: partial 16S ribosomal RNA
Rfam family: Bacterial small subunit ribosomal RNA
Source: RNAcentral